UUUGUUGUUUGCACUGUUUGUGCCCUCGUUGAAUGUGUAUGUUUAGAGUUUAAAGUCCUGGGUAAAUUCUUGUACACAUUCCUGUUGUGGAGCCUUGGGCGGACAGGGGAGGUGCUGUCCGUUCGGCGGUCUGUCGCCGCGGCCAAAUCGUGCCAAAUUGGUAGUGAUUUCGGGGCGAGGCGUGACAGUGUGCGACGACUUCGCCGCUAGGGGGCUGAGAGCGGUAGGCUGAUGAGCAGCCGGUGCGCGGGCUAUCCGCGAAUGAUUGACUCGAAGCCGAGUCGUGUGGUUAGCAUCGAUAGGGUAGAGGAACCCUUAUGAGCUAGAGAUAGAGGCUUGAAGUAAGGG
Molecule: long non-coding RNA, 348 nt
Filed under: Ananas comosus (pineapple)
Lineage: Eukaryota; Viridiplantae; Streptophyta; Magnoliopsida; Poales; Bromeliaceae
Description: long non-coding RNA (ACOM_LNC034577)
Source: RNAcentral